AGUUGGAGUAAAUAGUUUGUGUUAAGUCGGGUUGUGAUAUUUUAUUUAUUUAUUUUAAUAAUAGAAGAGAGGGAGACGAAAACUGCAAACUGAAGGGAGAAGAAGCGGUGGCUGACUUUGUAUAUUUCUCCUUUCUUUUCAAUUUGAGAAAAUUUCUUUGCAAUUCACUUUGAAAAGGAAAUGAAUAUUUCUCCCUCAGACUUAUCUCUCUCUUCUUUUCAAUUUAUUUUCAAUUUUUUUGUGUGCUUCUCACAGUGUAUGCAUAAUCUCUCUUUUCUUCCUUCUCUUUUCCUUCUCCAAUCAACUUCACCACCGUCUUCCACCUACACCGAACGUCAAGCAAAUUUUUUCCUAUCGUCGCAUAACCGUUAGCCCGAGUCACUCCAGUUCUGUCACGCCAUGUAUGUUUAGAUCUGAAUUGUUCGGUUAUUUGUUGCACCGAUCCGUCUCCGUUAGAAUUUGAUUCUCCACAAUUUGGGUCGGUUCGUUGCACUUUAGUUUGAAAAAGAAGCUUAAGUAAGGUUAUAAGGCAAAGGUAACAAAGGAGGUAGACCGACGAGGGACAAGAAGGAGACGUGAUUGCCAUAAGGGAAUGUUCUUCAAAUGCUUUCGCUUUAUGUUUCUUGUUUUUUCCUUUGUACAUGAGGUUGUUUAAAAAUUUUGUGAUGGAACUGAGUUUACGAACUGUUGUUUUGUAAAUAGUACUUUUAAAGUUUUGGUUAUUUGAAAUAGGGCCCGAACUUAAGUUUGUUUUCUUU
This is a long non-coding RNA of Cucumis sativus (cucumber), 758 nucleotides long. RefSeq lists it as uncharacterized. The record is from RefSeq and is a predicted model, not a curated record. Lineage: Eukaryota; Viridiplantae; Streptophyta; Magnoliopsida; Cucurbitales; Cucurbitaceae. The transcript is spliced from 3 exons.